GUGGGGAAUUUUGGACAAUGGGCGAAAGCCUGAUCCAGCCAUGCCGCGUGCAGGAUGAAGGCCUUCGGGUUGUAAACUGCUUUUGUACGGAACGAAAAGACUCCUUCUAAUAAAGGGGGUCCAUGACGGUACCGUAAGAAUAAGCACCGGCUAACUACGUGCCAGCAGCCGCGGUAAUACGUAGGGUGCAAGCGUUAAUCGGAAUUACUGGGCGUAAAGCGUGCGCAGGCGGUUAUAUAAGACAGAUGUGAAAUCCCCGAGCUCAACCUGGGAACUGCAUUUGUGACUGUAUAGCUAGAGUACGGUAGAGGGGGAUGGAAUUCCGCGUGUAGCAGUGAAAUGCGUAGAUAUGCGGAGGAACACCGAUGGCGAAGGCAAUCCCCUGGACCUGUACUGACGCUCAUGCACGAAAGCGUGGGGAGCAAACAGGAUUAGAAACCCCAGUAGUCC
This 450-nucleotide ribosomal RNA is filed under the name uncultured bacterium. RNAcentral describes it as "partial 16S ribosomal RNA". It matches the Rfam family "Bacterial small subunit ribosomal RNA", at positions 354 to 796 of the family's 1533-position model. The record is from RNAcentral.